RNAcentral lists this ribosomal RNA (163 nucleotides) under Chlorophyllum hortense. Its description in RNAcentral is "5.8S ribosomal RNA". It matches the Rfam family "5.8S ribosomal RNA". From Rfam's summary of the family: 5.8S ribosomal RNA (5.8S rRNA) is a component of the large subunit of the eukaryotic ribosome. It is transcribed by RNA polymerase I as part of the 45S precursor that also contains 18S and 28S rRNA. The record is from RNAcentral. Lineage: Eukaryota; Fungi; Basidiomycota; Agaricomycetes; Agaricales; Agaricaceae.
UAUACAACUUUCAGCAACGGAUCUCUUGGCUCUCGCAUCGAUGAAGAACGCAGCGAAAUGCGAUAAGUAAUGUGAAUUGCAGAAUUCAGUGAAUCAUCGAAUCUUUGAACGCACCUUGCGCUCCUUGGUAUUCCGAGGAGCAUGCCUGUUUGAGUGUCAUUAA